GAAGCAAUUCCAUGGCCACUCGGUGCCAUCUUCUCUCAAGAUCUUAGGCUUCGAAAUCCCCCAGUAACUCGAGACCACCGUACCAUCACUCGUCUUAAACGAUUCCACUCCUUUCUCCGCUUGUUUCUCCACCGACUUCUCCGUCUUCACCUUCUCAGCCACCGCUGUCUCCGUCGCAUUGCUGCUUAUCAUCCUCCUCCAGUAAAACACAUCAAAAGACGUACCAUAUCUGCUCCUUAACUCCGUCCAAACCUCCGUCGGCUUCGAAACACCAGCAGUCGACGCAGCCGUUGCCGUCGAAAUGUAUCUGCCGCUCCGACCUCCAUUGACCAACAAGCCUCGCAACACCGACCUGACCACCAAGUGGUUCAUCAUCUUCACGUUAGGGUUUGUUCCUCCUUCGUGGAUCGACCUUCUCUGUGCAGGGUACAGAGUGGGGUUCUCUAUUUA
This 450-nucleotide unclassified non-coding RNA is filed under the name Hevea brasiliensis (rubber tree). The record is from RNAcentral. Lineage: Eukaryota; Viridiplantae; Streptophyta; Magnoliopsida; Malpighiales; Euphorbiaceae.